This 253-nucleotide ribosomal RNA is filed under the name uncultured bacterium. Its description in RNAcentral is "partial 16S ribosomal RNA". It matches the Rfam family "Bacterial small subunit ribosomal RNA", at positions 524 to 776 of the family's 1533-position model. The record is from RNAcentral.
UGCGAAGGGGGCUAGCGUUGCUCGGAAUUACUGGGCGUAAAGGGCGCGUAGGCGGCACUGUUAGUCAGGCGUGAAAGUCCUGGGCUCAACCUGGGAACUGCGCUUGAUACGGCAGAGCUAGAGGAUGGAAGAGGGUCGCGGAAUUCCCAGUGUAGAGGUGAAAUUCGUAGAUAUUCGGAGGAACACCAGUGGCGAAGGCGGCUCACUGGUCCAUUACUGACGCUGAGGUGCGAAAGCGUGGGGAGCAAACAGG